Molecule: long non-coding RNA, 17208 nt
Organism: Anolis carolinensis (green anole)
Lineage: Eukaryota; Metazoa; Chordata; Lepidosauria; Squamata; Anolidae
Exons: 4
Source: RefSeq, a predicted model, not a curated record
UAACUCUGUGAAAUUAAAAGCACACACAAAACAGACAGGAAAAAACCCCGUGAUCAUCAAACCACCAAAAAGUGCUCAAAUGUUCAAUAAAUAAAACUUUAAGAUAAAACAGGCAUGUUGCUAUGCAAACAUACACUACAGAAGCCUCAAGCAUUGAUCAUGGCAGGCAACAACUACGUUUAAUUGAAAAUAUCAUCCACCUUCUUACGAUUUUCCUCCUCUUCUGUCUCCACCUAUGUAAUGGAACCACCCAGAGGUCAGCAAAAGAAAAGACUUGUUAGUGGAAGCUACUGAAGCAGCAAAGAGGUUUUGUUUGGAAAUACUACAAAUAAUGUGCUCUGUUUACAAACCUUUAUUGCUCUGGCCUCAGAUGCUGCUCAAGUUAAUAAACCACUGCAUUCUUCCACCUAUAGCACUGUGGAAAUGGCUGAAGCAUUUUUGAUAUAGAUGAAAUGGAAAAUGAAAUAUCUUUCUGUCUCUCUACAACCCUAAUAUUGCUGCUUGUUUUUUUUCCAUAGUUUGGAAGAAUUUUUGAAAACAAAAUGUGAAGGAAAAAAGCAUCUGCUGUGAACAUUCAAGGGGAGUCGCUGUAAUGUCAAUGCAGCUUGAAAAAAGUUUGCAUACUAUUUUAAAGCCACUACAUCUGUAUUGUUAAAUGGUUAAAGACAAUACAAACCUUUCAAAUAAUAAAGCUGACAUGUACCCAAUGUUCUGCAAGUUAAUGCCUCUUUCACAGGACUGCAGUUUGUGCUGUCUGAGGGUGUGUACACAGGUUUACCGAGGUUAUCAUGCUCUGAAAUGUCUGAAAUAACAUCUUUUUCAGGGAUAGCAGGUAAGUUUGGGGAAUGGGAUAAAAUAUGAUAAAUGAGGGGUGAAAGCUGAUGUGUGUAAACAGUCUAGUGGAAGAUGCAGAGGAAAUAGGAAAAGAGGAAAGAAAAUCCAACCACACAUGCAGAUGAGACCAUGAAAUAAAUGUACGUUUGUGGGCAAAAGGAAUGUACAAGAGAAGGGGGAAAAGAAACUUGUUAGUGAGAAUAUUUACCCCAAAGUAGGGACAGCACUACCAUUACAACAUGGAUGUCACAAACAUUCAUAAACCCCAUUUGUUUUCUUAUCAGUGAAUCUAUAAUCCAGAUAUCUGGAUUAUACAAGCUCAACCAGUUCUUUGUUGCCUCAGUGUAAGGCCAUGAAGAGCUCUGUAGUUUGAGAUUGCAGUGGUGCAGUUAAAACAGAAACAAGGAGACAGACAGUCAAAGCUUUAACAGAAGAUGGGCAAGGGAGACAGCAGGAUGAGGAAAACAGCAAUUCAAAAAGGAUUUCAUCAUUCCAAAAAGGAUUUCAUUCUCUGGGAAACACUAUCCCGAGAAAUGCUCACUAUUUAAAAAUCGGAAUUGCAGGAUUGUUAGACCUGUAGUCAUUUAAAUUCCUAGUCGUUGCACUACAAAUAUCCAGUGUUCCACAGAUUAUCCAAUGGAUUACAACUUAAAUGAAAGAGCAUAUGAGAUUUCUAGGUGUUAAGGCUUCUUAUAAGUGAUUUCAUAUGCUUUGUGUUUCAGAAUAUACUGAAAUUUGUGUAUUUUAUAGUUUGACAAGACAGAAAUAAAAACAAAUGCAUGUGUUCACAUUUCUGAAUUGGCGCAGCUUGGAAAUUGAAUAUGAUUUGCCUAUACUUAAAGCAGAUUAUUCUAAAAGCCAAUAUGAAAUGUGUGUCACAAUUGUGACUGCCUUUAAACAAACACUGACAGAAACAGUUGUCUAGUAUAAAAUAUAGGCAGCAAAACUAUGAAUGUUAUAAUGAUAAAUCAAAGAUGCAAAUUACUUUUAACUCACAUAAUUUUAUGGAAAUAGAUGCAAACACUUAACAAAUGUCUUAUUAAGUCUACUCCUCCGCAUAUUAUCAAAUUAGUUUCUCCAGAAUGUGUAGGCAACACAAAUUUGCCCCAGAACUAGAGAAGGAUGCAUUGUUUCCCUUUCUCUGAUGUCAGCUGCACACUGAAUAUGAUUUUUAAUAUCACACUGGUAAAAAGAGCUAACACUGUUCCUAUUCCAGUGCCAAGUUAAAACAGAGCUAACACUGUUCCUAUUCCAGUGCCAAGUUAAAACAAUGUGUUUUGUUAAAGCCUUUGGCUUCUGAUGAUGUUAUCCAAGUUGUACAUUUUAUAAUAUGUAAGCUAAAAGAAAUUGGAUUCAAAUACAUGUAAUGAUAAAGAAAAUUGUAACGAUUAAUCUUCACUUAGCACUGGGACUUUUUUCUUUUGGGAUUGAUGGGAGAUGCAGCUGGAAAGUCAUAGAAGUUGGCAUCAAUAUAUAGCCACAGCAACAGGAAUACUAUAUGCUCAAGGAUGGAAGAAUUUAGUAGUAUCUAUUGUGGAGGGAUGGUUGAUGAAAUUGAAAGGUUUAGCAGAAAUUGACAAAUUGUCUGGUUUGAUAAGAGAGGUCAGACUUGAACUUUUAUUCUAUUGUAUUUUAGGUUUCUUUCUUUUCUAUUUCAAAUCUUCGUAUUAUUUAAUGUAUUUAAAACUCUCAACAAAAAUUAUUUGUAAAAAAAAAAAAGCAGCUCCAUAAUGCUCCCAAAAUCCACUCUAGGGCAUGCACAGUCAUUUCCACCACAUUUAGGGACCCCUUGGAUCCCCAGGAGUCAAAAGCAAUUUUUGCAAAAAAAAAAAUCUAAAACUUUUUUGUUGCCCUGAAAUGCUACGAAGUCUUCACUUGGGGUACAGAGUGCAGUUUUUUCACAUUUUGCACCCCCCCUAGGCAAAUGUACACCUAGGUGAGGCCUUUCUUGAACCUCAAAACAUGGCAAUUUUUUAGAGAGAGCAGGUCUGCUAGGGGGCUAAUGCAAUACCCAGUCUUCCACUAUGCCCACCCUAAUUUAUACCAAUGGAAGUUCAACCCAAGGAAAAUGUAUCUGUUUGAUUUUGGAUUUCCUCUUAGUCCCCAAUGCCGAAGUCCACCUUCUGUUGUCUACUGGGAUAAGAAGGAGGCACAUAGUUUAGCCUUCUGAACUCCUGCUUGCACAAUACUGAAUGUUACCAUGGAAAGAUGAAUCAGAAAGAACCUGCCCUCUUUCAAAAGUUGAAGGUUUGCUCUCAAUUCUUCCCUGGUUUGUCCUUCUACUCUGCUCCCAUAUGGGUAAGUCAGCCAAUGGAUUAAAAAAUCCCAUAACAAUACAUGCCCUGGGAUAGCUCCACUACAGUUCAUGUAGCACUCCGACUGAGUAAAAUUUCCAAAACCUAUACAGUACUUCUACAAAAUGGACAAUCUUCAGCUUCCAUACCUUUCCAUCUUCUAAUUGUGCCAUUUUCGUUAUACCUCCAUCCACAUCUGUACCUUCUCCAACUUUUACUUUGGCCUGUCCAGCUGCUUCAGUGAUCUUAUCACCAGCAGAUACUAUUACUGAGGGAGAGACAUCCUUUAGAAGGCUCUGGUCUGUGAUACCUAUUGGAGCUACAAGAAAAGGCAAGUUAUGGAUUUUGGUCAAAUCCUUACCACCAUCAAGACUCCUGGAAACACGUUUGCUGGAGGUCCUUUCAAAGUAUGGAGCAGGUCUAUCUAUGAGAUUGCUUGCCUGCCGUGUCUGUGCUUGAGUACGGCCACUGUAGCGGAACUUGGACCCCAAUGUCAGGAAUUUGGCCUUUGUAGGCUGUUCUGGUGAUACAAGUCUGCAAUCCCCAAAAGAAAACAUAUUGCAUAUACUCAUGGAUAAGUCAACUUCACAGGUAUGUUGACUGCUGGUUUGAGAGGCAAGUCAAGUGUUACUACUCAGAAGGGGAAAAUCUAAAUUGGCCCUGCCCACAUCUAUCAUUGCUUCGUCCAGGCAUUCAAAAUGUUUAGAAGCAUUGCCAUAGCGGAGAGAGUAGAAGAGUUGGUGCUUCUUUUCGGUUCUCCCAUGACACACUAAACUUUUGCCACUCUACUCAGAGAAGGGUAUGAUUCCUUUUUUAUAAGAGUUAAAGUAAUUGACUCAGGUUUUUAAAACUGAUUUUUUGAUUAAUAUUUCUAUUUAGAAGUAUUUCAGAACUAUACCUGAUACUCAUUUUUUCAUACUGGAAAACAUCCAAUGAGUUAUCAGAAAAGAAAAAAAUGUACAUGGUUGUACCUGCCAUUUUUAUACCUAGACAUACCGUGUUUCCCCUAAAAUAAGACACUCUUAUAUUAUUUUUUGGCUCUCAAGACCCGCUAGGUCUUACUUGUCAGAGUAAUGCGCACAGCGUAGCAGCAGAUGAAUGACAUCAGUGGAGCGCAGAACGAAGGAACGUCAGAGACAAUGUUAAAAAGUAUUUACAAAGUUUACUUGACAAGACAAACAGACUUGCAGACAAUGGACAUAAGACUUUCGCUCUAGACAAACAGCACAGAUCUUCUCAGCAGGCAGAAACAGAUCUCAUCUGAUGCAAUCAGCUAUAUACAAACACACUUGAGUCUGGACACUCCCAGGUUCCAGCCACACAUCCAAGGUCAAUACAGCUUCUUACCAAUUAACUCUUUACACACUAUAGCAUUUCCUGGAUGAUGCAAUACAUGCUAGACACAAAUUUCAUUUAAACACUAUCUAUAAACAAAUCCCACAUUAACAAUUCCCCCUCUUUAAAUGCAAUUUUGUCUCCUUAAAUAUAUACAUCACCUAAGCACAUAUGAAUCAACUUAUUGUACAUUCAUUACAUCUCAUGGUUUUUCACACUGAAUGUCUUAUAACACUUUUCUUUAAACUAGGUAAUCACAUAUAAUCUUUACACAGUUGUUUCUUACACUCUAUAAACACAGGGAACAUCUCAUGACUCUUAAACGAUUAUACAUGAACAUGAAUCUCUAUCACAAACACAUUCUCUCAAGACUUUACUGUUACACUUUAUCAAUAACAAUCAACUAUUUCAUAUCCACCACUACCAACAUAGUCUUUUCCAACAGGUGACAUGUGGAACUUCGUUGGAUCAGACAAAUACGGUACUAGCACACAUCUUUUUCUUUCUUUCUUUCCUACACUCAUGCACACAUUUUCUGUGGUCUCUUGUUUUAUUUGCUUAGUUGUUAUUUUGCCUUUCAGUGUUCCAAUGCUAGCCUUCUUUUGUGUACUCAACCCAUGUUCACUACCUGAUGUAACUUUCUUAGGUGUUUCAGACUCAGAUUUAAGUAAAUGUUGUUCCUCUCUUGUAACAAUGUCUCUCGCUUUCUGGAAACCAUGCAGCUGUUCCGAAUUCGAAUGAAUCUGUUUCCAAUCAUUAGGUCUCUCAAAAUAAGCUAUUCUGGAUAUUUUGACUGUUUGUGGUGGUUCUAAAAACUUAUAAGACCUUUUGUAAUAUCCAAUGAAAGUCAUUUCCUUGUGCCUUUGCUUCUUUUGGGUCCUUUCUUUUGCCGGAAUGAAUACAUUUGUUCUCUGACCAAAAAUUCUUAGGAAUUUGUAAUUUGGAACAUAAUUAUACACUUUACGAAAUGGGAUAUCUUGCACACACUCAUCCCACAACCUAUUAGUUAUGUAAUUACAAGUAUGAAGCACCUCAUGCCAAUAGUUGUUAGAAAUAUGGCUAUCUUUAAACAUACAUGUUUUCAUUUCAUUUAGGACUUGCACUCUUUUCUCUGCAAUCCCUUCUUCAGCCUUAAACUGUCCAAUUUCUAAACAAUCAAUGUUCUUUGACCUCAAUAGCUUCUUGAACUCAUCAAUACAAACUUCUGCCCCUUUGUCAAUUAUGAGAGUAUCCAAUUUCUUAUCAUACACAUUUUCAAUUAAACUCAGCCAAUUAGAAAUUUUUAGUUGCUUCAGAUAAUUCUUUGAAGAAAUAUAUGUAACCAAAUUUGCUCAAUCUCUCUACAAACAACAUCAUGUAUUUCGACCCACCAGUACUUUCCUCAAAUGGCCCUUCAAUCUGAACAUGUGCCUUUUCAAACAAACUGGUUACCUUAAUCUUUGACCUUUUGUAAAACUUCACAGGUACCUUUUUCACCUGUUUGCAUAUGGCACAAUCUAGUUCAUAAUGGCAAGACUCCAUUUUAUACUCUGGGCUUAAAUCAAGUGUCUUCUUCAGAAUAUCCAUGUUUGCAUGACCCAUGACUCUAUGGAACAAAUGUACACAACGAUCAUGUUGUAUCUGACCUCCAACACACAUGAUUUCUACAUUUUUGUGAUCAAUGCUAUUUACUUUGUCAAACAUUUCAUACAUCUUGUUCCGUUUUACUCCUUUUCCUACUAGCUUUCCUUUUCUGUCGUAAACCUAACAAUAGAUACCUUUAAAAUUCACUUUAUACUGGUGGUCUGUUAAGGUGGCAACACUUAGCAGAUUAGAUUUCAUUUCAGGUACAUACAAAACUCUCUCCCAAUAUACUCUAAAACAGGGAAUAUAACAAGUGCCAAAUUGAGAAAACAAUUUAAAUGACCCAUCAGCCAAAGUAACAGUCACUCCUUCUGUUGACUGCACAUUUCUCAGACAAGAAAGAUUGUUCGUGAUAUGAUGAGUUGCACCUGAGUCCAGCACCCACUUGUUGGUCUGUUGAUCCGUUUGUUGACCAUUAGCAGCCAUCAUCACCGUAGGUCCAGAGAAGUUGAAUGUACCUCUGCUCCUGUUGAAGCCUCUGGAACGUCGUCCUCGUCCUCUGGCCUGUUGUACCUUGCUUCGGCAGUCUCUGGCUAGAUGCCCUGGCUUGUUGCAAACAAAACACCUUCUUGCAGUUGACACACGCACAUCUGCAAACACAGGCUCCAUUUCUUUCACCUCCACAUGGGACUCCCCCUCGCUCCUGCAGCCUCGAGCCGACUCCUGCUCAAAGGAACACCGAUCCUGUUCUUCAAGCACUCUCGCACACACCAAAUCUAAACUCAGAUCUUGAGAUGGCACGGCUUGCAGUGAAUACAGCAAAUGGUCCCAGUCACUAGUCAGGCUAGACAUCAAGAUGUAUGCCUGCUGCUCUUUGUCUAUUUGAACACCUCUGGCUUGGCAUUCUAGAAACAAUUCCUUAAUCUUCUUCACAUGCUGUCUUACAUCUCCACCUUCAGACAGCCUGGCUCUGUACAAUCUCUUCAUCCAGGUCAUCUUGCCCAGUGUACUCUCUCUCUGGUGAACAUGCUUGAGAGCAAAGCCACACUUCUUGGGCAGUCUGGAGAUGUUGUACAUGCACCAAUUGAUCUGGCAUCACACUCAGGAUCAAAGUUGCCAGCCCUCUCAUUUUUCUCUCUGUCUGCUUCUUUGCCUAAGAUGGUCUUCUGCAGCCCUUCUCUCACCAGCAAAUGCUGCAUAUACACAGACCAUUCUUUGUAAUUGCGAUCAUUUAAUUUGUCCAUCAUUGUAAAUGAGUUUAAGGCAGCCAUCCUCUCACCUUCCGGAGACCCUCGCACUCGAGUUAACAGCCCUGCUGCUGAUGGUUCCACACUUCAGCAGCGUCUGGCAGUCUCCCCCACAAGCUUCGAGAUUUAUGGCUCCACACCUCUCACCUCUGACCAUCAAUCAGUCAGGCCUCAGCACGCCCCGCUGCGUCUCUGCUUCUCCAUGAAAUCAAUCUUCAUCCGAAGACACACCAGAUUCACACUCAAGCAGGCUCACCAAAACAGCGGGUCUCGUCUCUGGUCACACUCGCAGCUCCAACUUUCUCUCCACUCCAAACUCCAGAACUCUGGUCCAGUCUAGGUACUGGUCAGUCUGGUCAAACUGGUCUGGAAACUGGUUCUGGGCCCAUAACCAAUUGUCAGAGUAAUGCACACAGCGUAGCAGCAGAUGAAUGACGUCAGUGGAGCGCAGAACGAAGGAACGUCAGAGACGAUGUUAAAAAGUAUUUACAAAGUUUAAUUGACAAGACAAACAGACUUGCAGACAAUGGACAUAAAACUUUCGCCCUAGACAAACAGAUCUCAUCUGAUGCAAUCAGCUAUAUACAAACACACUUGAGUCUGGACACUCCCAGGUUCCAGCCACACAUCCAAGGUCAAUACAGCUUCUUACCAAUUAACUCUUUACACACUAUAGCAUUUCCUGGAUGCAUGCUAGACAAACAUUUCAUUUAAACACUAUACACAAAUCCCACAUUAACAUUACUUUCGGGGGAGGUCUUAUUUCACUGUCUUCUCCUCCACCACGACAGCAGUGUGCAGGAGAAGGAGCGAAAGGCGCGCGCCUUUCCCUUUUCUCCUUUACCUUUCUCGGCGAAAGAGAGCCAUCGCCAGCCAAGAAGGAGAAGAAGGGCUCCUCCUUCAUGGGCGGCAAAGGGGGCCGCCGCCACCACUGCCGCACGGAAAGGAGAAGAAGGGCUGCCUCCUCUCCUUCCCGGGCGGCGAAAGAGAGAGCCUUCACCGCCCGGGAAGAAGAAGAAUGGACCCCUCCUCUCCUUCCCGGGUGGCAAAAGAGAGAGCCUUCGCCACCCGGGAAGGAGAAGGAGGGACCCCUCCUCUCCUUCCCGGGCGGCGAAAGAGAGAGCCUUCGCCGCCCGGGAAGGAGAGGAAGGGACCCCUCCUCUCCUUCCCGGGCGGCGAAGGAGGCCACCGCCACCACUUGGGAAGGAGAAGAAGGGCUCCUCCUUCUCCUUCACGGGUGGGAAAAGAUGCCAUCGCCAUUAGGGAAAGCGAAGGAGGGCUCCUCCUUUGCCUUCCCAUCGCCGCUAGGGAAGGCGCGCCUUCCCUUCUUCUUCAUCUCCCUCUUCCUAGGCCUUACUUUCGGGGGGUGCCUUAUAUUAGACAUUCCCCCCAAAUCUCUACUAGGUCUUAUUUUAUGGGGAUGUCUUAUUUUUGGGGGAAAACGGUAUUUGAUAACAUAUGAAGUAUCAAACAGAAUUAUAAUUCAUACUGUUAAAAUUUCUGAAUAUAAUGUCCCUUUUACAGGGUUUGUACAUGAAAUUGCAUAGGUUUUUUGUCACUUUCACAGCUAGGGCAUAAAUUAAAAAACUCUCUAUUUUAACAAGACUCAAAAGCCAUUACAAGGUAAAGGACAGGAAAAGAACUUCACUUUUAAUAGGCAGACAGUUUCCAGACAGUAUUUCUAGCAUAGGAUAAUAAUGAACAAAAAUUAAAGGUUAUUUUUGAGGGGAAAACAUUCCAAAACAAAAAUAUUAUAAAAUACUUUUUUAAAAAAAUGAGCUGCACAAACUAUCCAAAUGACAGAAAUGCGGUAAUUGCAGAAUUUUGUUCAAGAGCAAGAGGAGGAAUGCUUAAGAUUUCUCCCUAUAACUUAAAUAUUAUCUUCCAAAAACAUUUUUUCCUUUAACGAGAAAAGACAUGGGGAUCCUAUAACCAAUGGUUAGAUAACACAAACUUUUUACCUAUAAAAUGUAUGAUGCUCCACACAGACCUUCCAUAGUCUCUUUGCAGCCCGAUGGUUUGGCAGUUUAAAUCCAAUAGUACUCUCAAACUGUUCCAACUGGAAAGAUGACAUACAUCAAGAUUAAAAUGAUUUCAGAAAGUUACACUAUUGGCUAGGCUAAAAGUAAUUUAAAAUACUGCAUUUCUUAUUUCUUAGGAUUAGAAUCACUGAAAAACAUUUCCAUUUCUGGCCUAUUUACGGUACAUGAAUUCUAAACAUUAAUAUAUUUUGGAUGAUGUGUUGUUGAAGGUUUUCGUGGCUGGAAUCACAGGGUUGUUGUGUGUUUUCCGGGCUGUAGGGCAAUGUUGUGGAACAUGGCCAUACAGCCCGGAAAACACACAACAACCCUAUUUUGGAUGAAGCAGGGGUAGAAAAAGGAAAGGCAUAUUUAUUCAGAAGUAAGUUCAAUACUCUGCAAGAAUUUAUUAUUAUUAUUAUGAUUACCUGUAAAAUACAAGUUGAAAAUGUUCAUUUAAAAUUUUAUCCAUAUCAAAUGUGAUCAUGCUAUACUAAUUCUAUGGGACAAUUCUGACAAUUGAUUAAUUGUGGGAUUGAUAGUUUGGAUGAAGUGACUGAACCUUACCAAGAAGUUCCAUCAUAUUAAGAGCACCACCCUUAAUCUAGAGGUACUGCCAUCCUGAGUACAUUAUACAUGUGUAUAUAGAAAUGUGUAUAUGUGUAUAUAUCUGUAACACACACACACAUAGAUCUAAAUCACUUGGCUAAGCUGGAGCUGCAUAAUAGCUGCUUUAAGACUGUCACAGCCUGCCAGGUAACAAAUGGUUUGUUUAUUCAUCAGGAAGAACACUACUAGCAUAUUGAGAUCGUAAUAAUCUAUACCAGAGCUUCUUAAACUUUUCCAUUCACAGCCCCUUUUCGUCCAAGAAAUAUUUACGUGAGUCCAGGUAUAUAUCUAUAUAUAUAUAUAUAUAUAUAUAUAUAUAUAUAUAUAAAGAGUGAUAGAAUCCUGGCGACGGACAAAACAACAAACUAAACACCCCACAACCUCGAAAAUUGACAGCACAACCCCUCAUCCACGCCUCUACAUUCAUACAACAAAAAGAAAAGAAAAAUAAAAUCCUAAUUAGAGGGACAGGCAGAGUUAGGCCUCACUUAGGCCUCUUCCACACUGCCUAUAAAAUACAGAUUAUGUGAUUUUAACUGGAUUAUAUGGCAGUGUAGACUCAAGGCCCUUCCACACAGCUAUAUAACCCAUUUAGAAUCUUAUAUUAUCUGCUUUGAACUGGAUUAUCUUGACCCCACACUGCCAUAUAAUCCACUUCAGUGUGCAUUUUAUACAGCUGUGUAGAAGGGGCCUCAUAUAAUCCAGUUCUGAGUAGAUAAUAUAAGAUUAUAAAUAUACAGUAGAAUCUCACUUAUCCAACAUAAACAGGCCGGCAGAAUGUUGGAUAAGUGAAUAUGUUGGAUAAUAAGAAGGGAUUCAGGAAAAACCGAUUAAACAUCAAAUUAGGUAAUUAUUAUACAAAUUAAGCACCAAAACAUCAUUUUAUACAAGACAUUUGACAGAAAAAGUAGUUCCAUGCGCAGUAAUGCUAUGUAGUAAUUACUGUAUUUAUGUGAUGUCUCAGAGACCCUCGAGUCAUGACCCCGUAGCCAUUAUAGAUCAGACUGAAGAGGAUAUGGGGUUUUUUCCAACUCAGCAAGAUUCUGUUCCCUUCCAGAUGUUCCCUGUUUACAGUUUGGGUCCAAAGCUAAUUACAAAAGCCCUUGAAACAGAGCCUGGUUCCCCAGAAAGUGUUGUUUUUGAUAGAAAAUCGUUUCUCAAAACACACCACUCUGAGAAGGAGAUUUGGAGACGAAGUGCGAAUUAGCGGAGAGAGAGGACUCUAAUUAAACCGAUUCCCUUGGGAGUUUUCAGGGAGGGUUGCAUCUGGCAAAAUUGUUGUCUUCAGCCCGUUUCCCUUGGGAAAAUGUGAACUCAGGCACCUGGUUUGGGGAAGAUUUUGAAGUCCCAUAAAAGUUCUGGGCACAGGCUAGCCAUCGCGGUGUCAACGUGUCAGUUGGAAAGUUAACAUCUACUCUAGUUCCUGCGGCGCACUACUCUUGAGUAAACCGGGCGUUGCGUCUCGUCUCCCUGUCAAGACUGGACUGCAUUUCAGUUCCACCACGACAACUUUGCUUUGCUUCCUUGCCUUGCCUUGUUUUUCCCUGCCUUGGACAUUGAACCUGGAACUCUUGUGAAAGACCUUGCUUUAUUCCCCACUCAAACUGCUUGGAAGUUUGAGUGUGUUUCAGUUAUUGGAUUUGAAAACUUGAUCUCUAAUACUGGACAUUAAACUUUAUAUUACUGGACUAUAUUUGACCUUUCCUAAAAGGACUAUUGCUGGACUAUAUACUCUGCUUAUUUUUGUUUGAUUCUUUUAUUGCUUUAAUAAAGAUAUUAGAUUGUUUAUUGGCCUCCAUGUUGGUUUCCAGAGCUCACGCAGCUUAGAGGCGUCACAAUUUACAAAUUUAUCACCAAACUAUCACAAUGAAUUUAAAACACUGACUACAAAAACAUUGCUUAUGAAAAGGCACACUGCGUUGGAUAAUCCAGAACACUGGAUAAGCGAAUGUUGGAUAAGUGAGAUUAAUCUGUAAUAUGAAAUAAUUACUAUGGUAGAAUAAUACAGAACAAUAUAAUCCCUAAAACCAGGACACUCAAUAAAGAGGAACACUCUGAAAGCAGGGAAAUUGGGAAUUCCAGAAAGGAAACAAUCAGGGCCAGCUAACACCUCCCAAGAAAGGAUUCUUCCAGAAAGGAAGCUGAGAAGGGAGUGAAGCACUGUGUAUUACCAAAGUCAUUAUUAUUACUAUCAUUACUAUUACUAUUAUUAUUGUUGUUGUUGUUGUGUUGCGGUCAACCGUGAAAAUGAAUACAAUCUGGUUCCAAGUAUUCAAAAACACUAAAAUCAAAAUAUAUAAAAAUUAAUGUGGUAUAAUAAAACAGAACAAUACAAUCUCUAAAAUCAGAACACUAAAUAAAGAACAACACUCUGAAAACAGGGGAAUUCCACAAAGGAAACAAUCAGGGCCAGCUAACACCUCUCAACAAAAUAUUCCCAUCAUCAAAGUCUGGCAAAUCCUCUGCUUUCUCAGGGCCACAGACAGUAGAAGCACAUAAAAUAUCACAAACAACACCACUCUGAAAACAAGGGAAUUCCAGACAGGAAACAAUCAGGGCCAGCUAACACCUCCCAACAAAAAAUUUACUUGGGGAGGAAGCAGCCAGGCUUUAAAGCUGCAAGGCCAUUACAUGCUAAUCAUUUUGCCUAAUUGCAGCAUUCAUACUUGCUUCCAACAGACAAAAAAAAAACCCAAUCAGAAAUAUUGUAUAUUCGCAACCUUUAGGAAAUAAUAUCCCCUGAUGGCACAGUGUGUUAAAGCGCUGAGCUGCUAAACUUCUGGACCGAAAGGUCGCAGGUUUGAAUUGGGUGAGCAUGUUUAGCCUGCAGAAGAGAAGGCUGAGAGGAGACAUGAUAGCCAUGUACAAAUAUGUGAGGGGAAGUCAUAGGGAAGAGGGAGCAAGCUUAUUUUCUGCUGCCCUGCAGACUAGGACACGGAACAAUGGCUUCAAACUACAGGAAAGGAGAUUCCACCUGAACAUCAGGAAGAACUUCCUCACUGUGAGGGCUGUUCGGCAGUGGAACUCUCUCCCCCGGACUGUGGUGGAGGCUCCUUCUUUGGAAGCUUUUAAGCAGAGGCUGGAUGGCCAUCUGUCGGGGGUCCUUUGAAUGCGAUUUCCUGCUUCUUAGCGGGGGGUUGGACUAGAUGGCCCAUGAGGUCUCUUCCAACUCUACUAUUCUAUGAUUCUAUGAUUCUAUGAUUCUAUGAGCAUAGAGAACCCCCACUGUUAGUCCCAGCUUCUGCCAACCCAGAAGUUCAAAAACAUGCAAAUGAGAGUAAAUGAAUAGGUACUGCUCCGGCAGGAAGGUAACAGUGCUCCAUGCAGUCAUGCCACAUGUCAUGCUACGGACAACGACAGCUCUUCGGCUUAGAAGAGUCAGACACGACUGGACUUAAUGUCAGGGGAAAACCUUUACCCUUUACCUUAACUACCACCAAUUCCUCAAUACAGUGGAGUCUCACUUAUCCAACAUUCUGGAUUAUCCAACGCAUUUUUGUAGUCGAUGUUUUCAAUAAAUCGUGAUUUUUGGUGCUAAAUUCAUAAAUACAGUAAUUACUACAUAGCAUUAUUUCGUAUUGAACUACUUUUUCUGUCAAAUUUGUUGUAUAACAUGAUGUUUUGGUGCUUAAUUUGUAAAAUCAUAACCUAAUUUGAUGUUCAAUAGGCUUUUCCUUAAUCCCUCCUUAUUUUCCAACAUAUUUGCUUAUCCAACGUUCUGCUGGCCCGUUUAUGUUGGAUAAGUGAGACUCUAUGUAGUUUAUUUCCCAUACCACCAUACUUCGCCACAGCAACGCAUGGCCGGGCACAGCUAGUAGGCAUAUAAAAUAGGUAUACAAAUCAAAUAUUUACUAAUCAAAAUUUAGCUUAAAACAAUUCUUUGGUAUAUAUACAAUUUACAGUUUAUUAAAGAUUAAAGCAAAUUUGCAUAUUAACGAGAUGGAUGUGCUUGUUUAUUUUUAAAUAAUUAAAUCUUGACUGAAUGUUUGAUACUGUAUAGAGAAUCUUAAACAAUUUUCAUGCCAUGAAAAUGUCUAAACCAGACACUAGAGGGUACACUACACAUAUUUUUCAGGACCCUCAGAUUCAAUAUAGGGGAUUUAUAAUACUGCAAAUAAAAUGGUAUGUACCACAAAGCUAUACUGUAUACUCUUAUAUAACCUUUUGGACCUUCGGCUUUCUGGAUUUAAAAUUCAGAUCCCUGGUAAUGAUUUGUGCAAGCUAUAGUCUAAAACCGCGAUUCUCAAAGUGUGCACUGGGAAGUGCUUGGAGCUCCAUGAAGCAUACUGAGGACUCCACCACCGUUUCCUCCUCCAUUCCCCUCCAAACUUUCCCUCCUCUUUUCUGCCCCUUCGCUUCCCUCACCCCCAAAAGCCUUUUUUUCCUCACCUCCCGUGUCGCCAAAAGCCUUUUCUCCCACCUCCCUUGCCGCCAAAAGCCUUUUUUCUCCCUUGCCUUCCUUGCUUCCUUCCCUCCCACCACGCUUUGAUUGUGCUUUUCCUGUAUGACAGAAGUGGAUUUGACUGGGUGGCCCUUGGAACCUUCCACUGAAAUACUCUUAAGUUUAUAUUGGUCAAAAGGUUUGCCCAUGCCUGAUAUAUAUAUUAUAUAAACCUUUUGGGGGCUCCACAAGAAACUUUUGCUUCAAAAGGGGCUCUGUGGCUGAAAAAGUUUGAGAACCCCUAGUCUAAAACAUACUGGAAGGCCAAAGAUUCCCCACCAUUUCUUUAUAUUAUUCAUAACAGGAGGUAUAGAAAGAUUGGAUCACAUGUUCAUACAUCUUCCUAGAUGUGAAUUAUGAAAGCCAAAAGAUUACCUCAGUUGGUCUGACUUUAAUAUAGAAAUUACUGCGUUUAUAAGAGAUUUUCAAAAUUUUGGGCCAAGCAAAACGGUUGAUUCGGAGUCUGUCUUUGUAAAUGAGUAGCCCAUUGGCACACACUCCAAGCAUGAUAUCCACACCUUCAGAAUCCUAAAAAGACAAUUGUGAAAAAUAUUUAAAUUUUCUUGUUACAGGAAUAUGUUAGGGAAUAUUAUGAAAGAUUGCAGAAGAGUGAUCAACACAACUUGCAUGAAAAAUGAGGUACAUAUUGCACAGUUUUUACAGAGAUAGCCUUCAGAUGCAGUCAUACCUAAGCUGUUUUUCUGUGAGCUGAUGCGGAUCAGGGAUGGAUGUAAUUAAGUCAACACGUGAGCUUCUCUCUGUGCCUGAAGUUUAUAGUUGUGUUUGUCAGGUACAGAACGUUCAAAACUAGUGAAACUUACUGUUCAGUCAAAUGCAUUUUGUGUUAUUUCCACUUAUGUGUUUAAUUAUUUUAUUUAAUACCUGUCCAAACACGUUGAUAGUGUUUCCCUAGUUGCCUUCCUAAUUAUAUUAGUAUUAACAGCUUGAGCAACUUGGUUCCCUUUUCUCAAAAUUUCUUUCCUCCCUCCAACUGACAGCUUCAACAUAUUUUGCAGUUCAGUUCCACUCAAAUGUUUUGCAUCCUGAAAAGCUGAAAAGGUCAUUAGGAGGCCAUUCUGAUAUUUUUUUUAAUGUAAUUGAAUUUACAACACAUAUUUCUUUAUAGGAAAAAUCCUCAAGUUAUAAAGAAGCCACUAUGUGUGGGAAUAUUAAUUUUGCUUCCAGGCUGGUCGGGUCAGAACCACCCCAAAUAGUCAGAUUAUAUAUUACAUUUUAGAUAUAAAAACGGCACCCAUCAUUUAUCUAGAAGUGCUCUAAUCUGCUGGUUCCCUACGAGUUUCAUUUUCCCCCCACAUCUUCUUCCAGAUUCCUCACUGCUGUGUAUUCACAUGAAGAGGACACCAUUAAAUUCUUUUGCUCAUCUUCAUCUAUGUCAUGGUUUGCAAUGAUACUAUAUGUGUGUUAACUGGAAAAUCAAAUGCAUGAAGCCAAUUGGCUGAGUUUGCAAGGACCUGGGAAUCGGUUUGCAAUUGCUGCUGUCCUGCUGCUGUCGAACCAGUUUGAACAGAUGUCUGUCUGUGUGUGUGUGUGUGUGUGAUAUUGACUACAUGGAUAUUGACUACAUGGAAAUUUAUUCUCCCAGUCAGUCCUAGUUCAGUUAGACUGAUUUUAAGCAUUGCGGCUUGUUUGAAUUUACAGACCUAUCAUUUUGAUAUCAGCACUCCUUAUUUAAAUGCUGAUUUAAAGGAAACUAUAUAUGUUGUGCCCCAAAGGAUAGGGACAAUAAUGUGGUUUAUCAUUUACGGAAGGAUCUUUACAGUUUAAAACAGGUGGGACUUGCCUGGCACGAAUGUCUGAGUGAAGUUCUGGUUGAGAAAAUGGGUUUUGUGAGAAGUAGGGCAGACCCAUGUAUAUUCACAUGGGAACUGAACCAGGAUUACCAAACACGCAAUAUGUUUGUGGACAAUCUGUGUUUUUCUGCGAGAUCCAUACAGGAAAUUGAACAGUUUGAGAAGGAACUGGGAAAGCAUUUCAAGUUGAGGAACUUGGGUCCCAUACAGUAUUUUCUAGGAGUUAAUAUUGUGAGGGAUGAAAAAGGGGACUUUGUUUUGAGCCAGAAAAGCAAGAUAAUGCAAGUGCUGGAGAAGAUAGGAAUGCAGGAUUGCAAGGGAGUUCAAUCACCUAUGAUUUUGGGUUUUACUGGGGAAGUGGAGAACUCGGAGGAAUUUAACAACAAAGCACUAGACAAAAAGCAUUAUCCAUCAGCUAUUGUAUAUUAGUAAUUAUAUGAGGGCAGAUAUUUCAUUUGUGGUGAAUUUCCUGAGCUGAUAUGCUAGUAACCCAACCAUAGCUGCUUGGAAUGGAGUCAAGAGAGUAGUGUGGUAUUUAAAGCAAACUCUAGAUUAUUGUUUAGUUCUGAGUCCAAGUAAAAAUGUAAGUUUGCAAGUGUACAAGGUCAGUGAUUUCGGAAAUAGCAGCAACAGGAAAUUGACAACAGUGAUUUUGAUCAAGUUUGUAGGCUGAAUUGUGGAUUGGAAUUCCAAAAAAUAGGUGUAUGUAGCCUUAAGGUCAAGUGAGGCAGAGUUUGGUGCUGUGAGCACUGAAAUCUGCAUAAUAAAGAGAUUAUUACGGGAUCUACAGAUCCCAGUGGAGAACCCCACUACUAUUUUUGAGGACAAUCAAACAUGCAUCCAUAUGGCCACCCAGGCCCGGGUGAAGCAGAGAAGCAAACAUGUGGAUAUUAAGUAUGCUUGUGUCAGGGAUGCAGUGAAGAAUGGGGAGAUUAAUUUAGUGUACUGCAACACCAAUUCAAAUUUGGCUGAUAUUUUUACAAAACCUCUGGGAGUUCAGAGGCUGAAUGAUUUAUGUAUUCUUAAAUGUACUGUUUACAUGGGGAAUGUGUUCUU